This 487-nucleotide ribosomal RNA is filed under the name Angiostrongylus malaysiensis. RNAcentral's name for it is "partial small subunit ribosomal RNA". The record is from RNAcentral. Lineage: Eukaryota; Metazoa; Nematoda; Chromadorea; Rhabditida; Metastrongylidae.
UAAUCGGCUAUGCUAGUAAAAUUUAAACUUUAUUUUUGUUAGGGCAUGAAAUUUUAUUUUUGAUUUUGUAAAUUUUAGGUAAAAUUAAAAUUUAUGUUUGGAAAUUUUUGUGUCAUUAAGACUUUGAAAGCGAAUUAGAUUAGUACCUAAUUAGUAAAAAAUUAAAUAUUCAGGAGUAAAGUGGUAUUUAAACUGAAAGAAUAUUGGCAGAUUUUCUAAAUUAUCUUUGGAGGUUGAGUGAUAAUUGAGAACCCUCAUUAACUACUUAAUUUUUUGGCUUAUGUAUGAUCGUUUAUUUUAAGCUUAAGGUUUAGGAUUAUAGGUUUAUUAUUGACUGUAAAAAUAGAUAUAUAUUUGGUUGAUAAUUAAGUUAAUUUGACCUACAAUAUUUUGAAUUAUGGAUUAUUAGUUAGUAAUAAUAUGAAAUUGUAAAAGACAGUAAGAAAGUUUUUAUGUCUUUCUGAAGAGUAUUUAGAGAUGGCACAAA